UGUGUGUGUGUGUGUAGGGACGUUGUCCUUUUGUUUUUCUAGAACAAUUUCCAUAAGUCCUCAUUCGUCCACUUAGCAGCUGUAUGAUUGGGGGCAAGUUUCUUUACGCAGAAAGUGGAAGCAAUAAUGGUACAUCACACGCGGCGUUGUUGUGGGGACCGAGUGAGGGAACGCCUGGAAGAGCACGGCACGUGGUCCAAGACCAAGAUAUUAGCUAUUAUUACUAUCACAGUUAUUAGAAGUACAGGUAAGUGGCUCUUUGUCUGAGCAGCUGCUGGAAUUCCACCUUCUCUCACAAUACCCUCAGGUCACGUGAGGUGAGCGAGCAUUCACUCAGCGCUCAGUACCUGCCACGCACUGAGGGGACACGGAGGAGUCUGACAUGUUGAUCUUGCCCUUGGGUAGCCUGCCUUCUAGCAGGGAAGACAAACCUCAGUGGUCUCCGGUGAUGCAGGAUGCUGUGGGGACCAGUGGGGCAGCAUGUCAUCCAGUCUGGGGUGCAGGAAUGCUGCCUGGAGGAGUGGAUGCAUCUGAGCUGAGUCUUAAAGGUGGAGCAGAGGUCAUCCAGGUCUUCUGCCAUCAGUAACGAAUUAUUAAAAGGAUAUUUAGUAGGUCACGCAAGGUGAAAGAGGACUGGCAAAAGGAGACGGUGCAAACCCAAGUGGAUGGAGAAGCUGGAGAGGGAGAAGACAUCUUCAAGGGGGAACACAAAGCUUUUCCUGACUUCCAUGGAUUUCUCCAGAGCCUUGGCUUUUGGAAAUUCUACCAGAAUGACGGCUGCAUUUUUAGUGGUGGAAAUUAUUGAUAUGUCUCAAAAGCAAGGAAUCAGAGAAUAUCUGUUUUCCAGAGGCAAUGUAUGACUUCCACCAAAGCCACACCAGUAUUUCUAAUACCUUAAUGAGUUUUUUUUUCAUAAGAACAGAACUAAGAUUCCUA
Long non-coding RNA from Enhydra lutris kenyoni (northern sea otter), 936 nucleotides. RefSeq lists it as uncharacterized. The transcript is spliced from 4 exons. The record is from RefSeq and is a predicted model, not a curated record. NCBI's taxonomy places the organism in Eukaryota, Metazoa, Chordata, Mammalia, Carnivora, Mustelidae.